UUUGUUUGUUCUGUUUGCAUGAUGGAUUUACUGUUGCAUUGCCAUGAUCUUUGUGUGUUUCUGUGUGGAAUUUGUUUGCCAUGAUGUUGCCUGCAUGAGGAUGAACAUAUGAGUUGUUGUUGCAUAAACCCUAAGGGUUUUGAACCCAGAAAACAUGAGCAUCGAUUGGUUCUGUUUACUGUUACAUUGAAACAACCAAUUACAACAUUUC
Molecule: long non-coding RNA, 211 nt
Filed under: Lathyrus oleraceus (garden pea)
Lineage: Eukaryota; Viridiplantae; Streptophyta; Magnoliopsida; Fabales; Fabaceae
Description: Pisum sativum (pea) long non-coding RNA (PSAT_LNC013461)
Source: RNAcentral